GACCCUGAAAGAGACCUCCCCAGGAAGGGGGGCCUCUCCAUCUGGUUUGCAGAGGUGGCCUCUUCAUAAGGUUGCAGACCCAGCUGUUCCAUCAGGUUUUGUGAGGACACUCUAAGGUGCGCUAGAGGGAUGCCUUCAUCAGCUUAGUGCAAUGGGUAACCCGUGAUGAGAUUAGCACUUGGGAGACUGAAACUAAAGCUGCAGAAAAACCUAAGACCCUUCUUCUGCUAGCUCAC
RNAcentral lists this long non-coding RNA (236 nucleotides) under Homo sapiens (human). RNAcentral's name for it is "non-protein coding lnc-C6orf201-9:3". The record is from RNAcentral. Lineage: Eukaryota; Metazoa; Chordata; Mammalia; Primates; Hominidae.